This 393-nucleotide long non-coding RNA is filed under the name Hordeum vulgare. Its description in RNAcentral is "long non-coding RNA (HVUL_LNC005857)". The record is from RNAcentral. Lineage: Eukaryota; Viridiplantae; Streptophyta; Magnoliopsida; Poales; Poaceae.
AACAAGAAAUGCAAGCACAAUCUCUUAGUUACUGAUGAAUCCGUCUGAUUAAGAUAAACAAAAUUUGCUCUUACUGAGUUGUUCAUUACAUUUCCAUAAAUCAUUCCACUAAAUAAAGGGCACUAGGAUGAGCGAUUAAUUCUGUUGCCCUCCAAUCCUAUUCGAGUACAUCAACACAUAGUAGAUGUGAAUUAUCAUGCCCAAUUAUUACAAGACUAUACUAUACCAAUGUUAGCCAAAUGUAACUGAGGCAAAUAAUGGUACCAAAAAUUACUACAGCCAAACCCAUUUAAUCGCCUAGCUCCGGCUGUUCUUGAUCGACUAACAGCAUUUGCAUCCAUGCAGCACCUUGUUCCAAACAAAGACUGACAGAAUUGUUUCACAAAGCCCUGC